UGGGGAAUAUUGGACAAUGGGCGAAAGCCUGAUCCAGCCAUGCCGCGUGUGUGAAGAAGGUCUUCGGAUUGUAAAGCACUUUAAGUUGGGAGGAAGGGCAGUAAGCGAAUACCUUGCUGUUUUGACGUUACCGACAGAAUAAGCACCGGCUAACUCUGUGCCAGCAGCCGCGGUAAUACAGAGGGUGCAAGCGUUAAUCGGAAUUACUGGGCGUAAAGCGCGCGUAGGUGGUUCGUUAAGUUGAAUGUGAAAGCCCCGGGCGCAACCUGGGAACUGCAUCCAAUACUGGCGAGCUAGAGUAGGGCAGAGGGUGGUAGAAUUUCCUGUGUAGCGGUGAAAUGCGUAGAUAUAGGAAGGAACACCAGUGGCGAAGGCGACCCCCUGGGCUCAUACUGACACUGAGGUGCGAAAGCGUGGGGAGCAAACAGG
This 429-nucleotide ribosomal RNA is filed under the name Pseudomonadota bacterium. RNAcentral's name for it is "Proteobacteria bacterium partial 16S ribosomal RNA". It matches the Rfam family "Bacterial small subunit ribosomal RNA", at positions 355 to 776 of the family's 1533-position model. The record is from RNAcentral. Lineage: Bacteria; Pseudomonadati; Pseudomonadota.